Sapajus apella (tufted capuchin) is the source of this 2141-nucleotide long non-coding RNA. RefSeq lists it as uncharacterized. The record is from RefSeq and is a predicted model, not a curated record. Lineage: Eukaryota; Metazoa; Chordata; Mammalia; Primates; Cebidae. The transcript has 2 exons.
AGAGAGCCUGGGAUUCAAAAUGCAGUUGGAACACGGAUCACUUGAAAGAAACCUCUUCAGGGGAAAGAUUUGGAAUGAAAUUAAGAGAAAGGGCGGAGGAGAGAGGGAGAACCCGCCCGGAUAGUGCAGAACAAGCAGUAACAAAGCAAAGUCCGAGGGAGCUUAACGCUCAACCCCAGGCCAGGCUCCAGCGCUGAAGUUCUCCUAACUCAUCCUAAGAAUAGGUCAAAGAAACCAAGCCAGGGGCCGUGCCCUGCCCCCGUCCUGCGGGCCAGGUUGGGGGAGGGGAGGUUUCUCCAGCGAUCGGAAGCUCAAGGGCUCUACCCCUGGACCCUGAGCGGCCCUUGGCUGGGGGAGGGGUCCGAACCGUCGCCAAGCCUGCCAGACCCUCCGGCUAGAAUGGGGACCCGCAGUCCAUCUAAGGCUGGUGGGGGCGCACUGGGGUCGCAGAGGGCGACGCUAGUAGUCUGGACCCAGAGGACUGCAGGAGGGAGACCGUGAGGAAGUGUCUGUGACUGGGAAGCCCCAGCUCCGGCUCGGGCAGGGCAGCCAGCACCUACCUGAUCCCAGGGAACCGGAGUCCGGCGGCGGCAGUCACGUAAUGAUCGGGUAUCAGAAAAAGACGUCAGCAUCCUAGUCCCUCAAGGAACAUAUUAACUAUUCUGUGCUGUCCUCUUGGAUGAUAAGAUCCGGAGUCAUCGACUUCUCAUAAACACCUUUCACUCAUACAAUCCAAUUUUUAAGAAGUCCAAUUAUUUUGAUGGUUUUCUAUUUCACUCAUUUCUCAAGGACAGGUAAAGGAUUUGUAGAAUUUUGAAGAUGGCAAAAGUUAUGUUUUUAACUAUGCAAUUACGAUUUCUCUUUACUUUUUCAUCAAGCCCCAGCAAUCAGAGCUCUGGCCUCUGGAAUUAAACAUCAUCAAGCUCUCCUAUUAAUAAAUUUAAUUUAGAUCUCCCAAUUUCUUGCGUAUGUUCUUUCAGAUAGACCAUUAAAUGUAGAAGUCGUUUGUUUUUAAAAGGAAGUCUUUGAGGAUUUUUCAGUAAAUCUCUCCCGAGUCUGGCUGCCAUUGACAGUCCUGCUAUGAGUAGAUUGAUAAGAGCUCAAGCUGCCUCCGGAGCGCGGCCUGUAGAGCUGUCCAGACUCCGGGUGCUGAAGAGUUCCGUCACAGAUGCUACAAACGUUGAAAAUUACCACUGGUUUAAUUUUUCACCAGAGCCUCUAAAUUUGAAGAUUUGGCAGUAGUACUAUUAACGUGGCAAUUCGUCGCCUAAAUCACCCCACCAUUCAGAUACAUCCUUUCUCCCUGUGUAGUGUCCAUAAAUGCCCUAAUACUGAGAAUGCUCUCCAUCCCUGUCUGGAUUUGAGGAAAAAGCAUUCUGUUCCCCAUUAGUCCUGGGUUUUGGAUCUCUAGACAGACUGACUGGCUACCUUCACCCCUUCUGUGGCUCUUACAGAUUCUAAAAAUUGAUGUUGUAAAAUUGUGCUUUCCACAAGAAAUGAAAUUUUAAGAAUUUGAGGGUGAGAAAUAUCUUUUUCCACUUUGUUUACAACUUGAGCUCUGUUUGGGAAAGAGACAGACUGGGAAAGCAUGAAGGUUCCCAGUACAAGUUCACUUGCUGAAGGUUUCUAACAGGAAUCCCUGCACUGGAAACAAUUAGAUUUGUUUUGACUGAAAAUGAUGUGGGAAGAGGGAAGCAAUAAGGGAAGACCAUAUCCACCCAGAGGCUUCAAAGUUCCUGGGUAAUUUAAGAAGAUUCAUAUAUUUCUACUCCAGUAAGAGAACUCAAGUCUAUUUUUUUAAAGGAAAUAGAGCCAUCAAUAACCAUUAGUGUGCAUUUUAAUUAUUUGGAUCUUACACAAAAAUUAGGGAAAAUUCCAGUUUAAUGGGAGAGUUUCCUGUUACUAUGAUUUGGAUCUAACAUUUAAAUAAGCUAAUUAGUUCUGCAUGCUUUUCCAAGAUAUAAUAUUUCUCAUUCUAAAUGCUGUUCCCGCUCUUAUUUGAGAUUUAAUACUUCCUCAUUCUUAAGAAAACUAAGUUUUGUUUAUUCCUGGCCAUAAAUGACCGAAAACUGUCUGCUUCCUCUUAGUUUAUUCUUGGCUGUGCUUCAGAUUGCCUGCCUUUACUAAAGCUUCAAACCACA